CACCACCACCGGCUUUUGUCACUGUUUUGUUUUUUAUCUUAUUUUGGUGCCAUUUCAGUCCAUUGUCUCUCUGCAGACUGCCCUUCGAGAAGCACUGACAUACUCAAGACUGUCCCUUAUGCCAUCUUCACAGUCCAGAAACAUCUUCAGUUACCAAUUUGUCUGAGCAUUUGGAAAGAAAAGUUUGUCUUGAAACAACCCACAUCUGUAAAAAACAAUGCAAAGGUUGGCUGCAAGAACGACCCACAUCUAGGCACGGGAAAUGGCCAUGCUGCUGAACUGCAUACUUUAAUCUCAGUGCUGGGAAGCCGGACAUCCAGGCUCAGGAUGCAGUCCCGGACACUAGUUCUGGGCUGGCUUCUGCCAUUUCAUUAGGUCUGGACCUUGAACACCUCUCCAAACGUCCCUGGGACUCACGCUUUGCAUUUGUAAAUUGGAAGUUUGACCUCAUGAUCUCUCGGCAUCCAUGCUUCUGCAGAUGCUUACUUGGGCUUUAUGAUACAGCCGCAGACUGACUGCUAACACAAAGAUAGACAAGGAAAAUCAGAAUCGUGGCCUACGAUAAUACAAGAAAGGCCAGCAUCUGUACACUGAAGUUCAGCCAUCUUCUCCACGGUUGUGUUGUUGUUUUCUGUCUUUAUAGUCACAGAAAGAAGAGCAGGAGGCACCAAGAGCUGCCGCAUGCCUAACUCAGGGACAACCGGGAAGAUGCCCUACCAUCCACUAACUUCUGCUUCAUUUUUAGACUUUUAAGGGUACAGCACUCCAUAACCACCCGAGACAACCUUUCCUUAGCGAUGGAAGACUGCAGUGGCUUGCAAGGUCCACCACUCUGAGCGAUCCUCUCAUAUCUCAUAUUUUACAUUAUUUUUUUUUUUAACAAAGUACACUGUCACAGAGCUUAUACUAAAGGAUCAAUAUUCGGAUUCCUUUUUCACAGUUGCUUUUCUUUCCACAAUAACUUCCAUUUCUGAAACAUGGGCAAAGCAAUUUCUCAUGUUCUUUGUCCCCUUCCUUGUAAAAAUGGCCGUAUUUGUUGUAAAUGUAAACUAUCUAAAACAUUCUUUGGAAAUUCAUUUUAAAAUUACUGGCAUACAAGUCUAAUAGGCCUUGUGUUAUAUGUAAGAAAAGAAGGGAGAUAAUAGACAGACAAAAUUAUACACUGUCAAAGUUAGAAAAGACAAUAGGCAAUAUGGAAAUCAAUGUUUUUUUUCCCAAUUGCUGUUAGAAUAGUUUAAUGGGUCUUGAAAUGGCUUUAAUGUGACAACCAGUAUUUUGUGAAUGUAAUGGAAUAGAAAAUAUCUGAGUAUAUUAUUAUACCUAGUAAAGUUUUGUUUAGGCAAGUUUUGACACACUUAAAAUAUAUCAAAGCAACUGAAGUGUGUGAACAAGUGUGCACGGUAGACAAGCAUAUUCAUUUAUGUAAGCAUGAUUAUUUAUGAUUGAUUAUUUUGAUGUCUGUUUAAUUUAGAAAUAGUCUAUGAAAAAUGAAAAUUGACUGGAAAACUAUUAAAAAUUUAUCGAGUGUCUAAAUGAAA
Meriones unguiculatus (Mongolian gerbil) is the source of this 1538-nucleotide long non-coding RNA. RefSeq lists it as uncharacterized. NCBI's taxonomy places the organism in Eukaryota, Metazoa, Chordata, Mammalia, Rodentia, Muridae. The record is from RefSeq and is a predicted model, not a curated record. The transcript is spliced from 2 exons.